UUUGCAUCUUUGGUACAUAAAUGAUCUAUUAUCUGAAAAAACUUCCUUUCAAGAUCUUGAUAUAUAUCUUCUAAAUAGCUUGCAAAGGCUUGCCAUUCUUCUAGUUCCAAAACCAUCUUCAUCAAUUGAGAACAAUCUGUUGCAAACGUAAUCUGAAACUGUCGUAAGUUUCUCAUACAUUCCAUUGCCCAUAGUGGCGCUUCUAUCUCCGCAUAAAGAGGGGAGAGACUAGCCCUAACAUUCCUCGCCCCCAUCAAUCCAUCAAAACCCGCUAGAGUACUGAACCAAUCUUUUCGAGAGAAAAUAUCAUUCUCUUUCCAAAAACUAUCUAUGAAACACCAUCUUGCUGGUAUUGAGGGUAGGGUUGCUGCCUUUAUGUAUGGUGGUGUCUUCUGUGUGUCCAAUAUCUGUG
This 412-nucleotide long non-coding RNA is filed under the name Brassica napus (rape). Its description in RNAcentral is "long non-coding RNA (BNAP_LNC007889)". Lineage: Eukaryota; Viridiplantae; Streptophyta; Magnoliopsida; Brassicales; Brassicaceae. The record is from RNAcentral.